Homo sapiens (human) is the source of this 1292-nucleotide long non-coding RNA. Ensembl annotates it as estrogen receptor responsive lncRNA 1. Its record names the gene ERLNC1. The record is from Ensembl. Lineage: Eukaryota; Metazoa; Chordata; Mammalia; Primates; Hominidae.
AGCCAGGCCAGCUCCCGUUCCAACACCUCUACCUUAGGGACAUCUGCAGAAAGGCUGGGCAGUGGCAAAAAAGGUAGCCAGUGAAAGGAGGGCUGAUAGACAGGUGCUUGGCCUCAAGAGCCCUGAAUCUGAGCCUCAUCACUCCCUCUGUCUUACUGCAGGGGGCCUUGGAAAAAUGGCCAAUCUCUUAGACCCUCACUUUUAUCAUCUGUAAAAUGGCACUGAGGCGUCCUGUCCUUCUGACUCCUCUGGUUAUGCUAGGAAGCUGAUAAAGACAUGGGCGUCAAAGCAUGAGGCAGAGCAUAAAAGUCACUGACUGAGGGCAUCCCUGCUACUUUGUGAAAGGAACAGGAGGGUAAGGAAGGAGACACAGGGAAAGGACAAGGCAGGUGAGAACGAGUGUCCAGACCUGGGGAUUCCAGACUAAGAACAAGGGCAACAGGAGCAGUGGGGAGAGAUGCAAAACAGACCUGAUCUUAGGAUGCUGGGAAAACUCCCCAGGAGGCGGUGCAGCUCCCUAAGUCGAGCUGACUCCCACAAAGAUCCUCCCCAGGAGGAAGAGUAGUGCCCUGGCAGGGAGCUGGAGCAAUGGAGCUCUCUUGAGGAGGCAGAGGGUAGCAAGAGCACAUAGAGAAGGAUGAGGAUGAGACCGGCCCUCUCUCACCUUCCCACAGGACAGACCGAUCACUCCCUCACCCAGCCCAGGGGCCAGAACACGAGAAAGAGUAUUCAGUGACUGAGGCACUCCUCUGCCCCCUCUGGAGAAGGAAGAGAGGACAGGGUCCCUUCCAGGCUUUGAGAAGGUCAAAGCUCAAGAAGAUCUGAGGUUAUCUAGUCCAGCCCCAUUGGGAAACUGAGGCUCAAGGAAGGAAAGAGCCUCCCUCCAAGCCUCCAGAUACCUCUUGCACUGCUGGAUCCUUUACUUCUUCAUUUAAGGAAAGCAGUCCUUGGCCCGUCCAAGGAUCCAAAUCGAACGGAGUCUCCUAAUUGUGAGGACUGUGCACUCUCUCUGAAGGCCUGGGUGCCCCUCAGAGGUUCUGCAAAGGCCUCUCUGAGUCCAGGGAGUCUGCUGGGAGAGGUGAUAUGGGGGAGGCCUCCCCCAUGCUUCCUGGAGUUUAUCUGUGCCGACAGGUCUGCGUAAGAUGUGUUUCAGUCCUGGCUCUCCUUAAGAAGCUACCUUUUAAGAUUCCUUUUUUUUUUUUCUUGGACUGAGACCAUCAAAAGGGAAGAAUUAGGAGGGUUCCUUUGGUUUGCUCAGGUCCCGGCCUGAAAAACAUGGCUCUGACAUCCAA